GAGAAAUUCAUUUCUCUUUUCUUUCUUCUCUCUUUGUUCUUCUUUCCUCUUCUUAUUUCUUCUUCCUGUUCUUUCUCUUUAUCUUUCUUUGUUCGAUCUCUGUUGAUUUUUGGUGAGUUAUGUGAGCGAUUAUCGAAGUAAACUUGAUGUUGAAGCUAUUUUAGCGAUGAUGAAGAUGUUGUGGUUCUGAUUUGUGAAGAAGAACAAUUGAAUAUUGUUAUAGUUUCGGAAUAAGUUUGAGAAGAUCGAAAUUAGGGUUUGGAAUGAAAUUGAGAGGUGAACUGGGUCGUUAAUGUAUGAAGAAUCGAGGGGUUGUUAUCGAAUUGACGAGGAGAAGUUUUUCUGAUGGUGAAUCGAAAUUCAGUUGGUCGUUAUUAACAAUGAUCGACUCAAAGGAUGAUCCAGUGGAUUGAACAUCUCAAGGUAGGCGAGGCUUGUCAUCAAAAGAGUUUCAGAGACGGAUCAAGAUGUACUCGUGGCGAUGAAAGCUUCGAGGAGUUGGUUUCGUUAGUUGGUUAGCUCCCGCUAUGCUUAUUUUGUGGUUAUAUUUUAUUUGUAAACCAACUCACUAUAAAAUAUGUAUCAUUUGAGAGGAGUUCUUGUAUUUAUUUCAGAGAGGGUUUAGAUUCGGUUAAUCUUUGCUUAGAACUUGUUUCUUGGUGUUUAAUCAGAUGUUUUAGAUCGUUAGUGCCUCUUUAUAUA
This is a long non-coding RNA of Papaver somniferum (opium poppy), 702 nucleotides long. RefSeq lists it as uncharacterized. The transcript is spliced from 3 exons. Lineage: Eukaryota; Viridiplantae; Streptophyta; Magnoliopsida; Ranunculales; Papaveraceae. The record is from RefSeq and is a predicted model, not a curated record.